This 585-nucleotide ribosomal RNA is filed under the name uncultured bacterium. Its description in RNAcentral is "bacterial SSU rRNA". It matches the Rfam family "Bacterial small subunit ribosomal RNA", at positions 338 to 916 of the family's 1533-position model. The record is from RNAcentral.
CCUACGGGAGGCAGCAGUGGGGAAUUUUGGACAAUGGGCGCAAGCCUGAUCCAGCAAUGCCGCGUGAGUGAAGAAGGCCUUCGGGUUGUAAAGCUCUUUUGUCAGGGAAGAAACGGUGGGGGCUAAUAUCUCCCACUAAUGACGGUACCUGAAGAAUAAGCACCGGCUAACUACGUGCCAGCAGCCGCGGUAAUACGUAGGGUGCAAGCGUUAAUCGGAAUUACUGGGCGUAAAGCGUGCGCAGGCGGUUUUGUAAGUUUGUCGUGAAAUCCCCGGGCUCAACCUGGGAAUGGCGAUGAAGACUGCAAGGCUAGAAUCUGGCAGAGGGGGGUAGAAUUCCACGUGUAGCAGUGAAAUGCGUAGAGAUGUGGAGGAACACCGAUGGCGAAGGCAGCCCCCUGGGUCAAGAUUGACGCUCAUGCACGAAAGCGUGGGGAGCAAACAGGAUUAGAUACCCUGGUAGUCCACGCCCUAAACGAUGUCUACUAGUUGUCGGGUUUUAAUUAACUUGGUAACGCAGCUAACGCGUGAAGUAGACCGCCUGGGGAGUACGGUCGCAAGNUUAAAACUCAAAUGAAUUGACGG